AUGUCCAGUUAUAUUUGAAUUAUAGAUAAACAAUGAAAAUUUUUUAGUAUAAGUGUCUCACAUGCAAUUUUUAGGACAUACUUAUACUAAAAAAAAAUUAGUUGUUGUUUACCUGAAAUUCAAGUUUAA
This 129-nucleotide microRNA precursor is filed under the name Tursiops truncatus (common bottlenose dolphin). RNAcentral describes it as "miRNA (ENSTTRG00000022152.1)". The stretch from base 41 to 92 matches the Rfam family "mir-1302 microRNA precursor family". Lineage: Eukaryota; Metazoa; Chordata; Mammalia; Artiodactyla; Delphinidae. The record is from RNAcentral.